RNAcentral lists this ribosomal RNA (690 nucleotides) under Escherichia coli. Its description in RNAcentral is "partial 23S ribosomal RNA". It matches the Rfam family "Bacterial large subunit ribosomal RNA", at positions 2259 to 2925 of the family's 2925-position model. Lineage: Bacteria; Pseudomonadati; Pseudomonadota; Gammaproteobacteria; Enterobacterales; Enterobacteriaceae. The record is from RNAcentral.
UGGUGGGUAGUUUGACUGGGGCGGUCUCCUCCUAAAGAGUAACGGAGGAGCACGAAGGUUGGCUAAUCCUGGUCGGACAUCAGGAGGUUAGUGCAAUGGCAUAAGCCAGCUUGACUGCGAGCGUGACGGCGCGAGCAGGUGCGAAAGCAGGUCAUAGUGAUCCGGUGGUUCUGAAUGGAAGGGCCAUCGCUCAACGGAUAAAAGGUACUCCGGGGAUAACAGGCUGAUACCGCCCAAGAGUUCAUAUCGACGGCGGUGUUUGGCACCUCGAUGUCGGCUCAUCACAUCCUGGGGCUGAAGUAGGUCCCAAGGGUAUGGCUGUUCGCCAUUUAAAGUGGUACGCGAGCUGGGUUUAGAACGUCGUGAGACAGUUCGGUCCCUAUCUGCCGUGGGCGCUGGAGAAUUGAGGGGGGCUGCUCCUAGUACGAGAGGACCGGAGUGGACGCAUCACUGGUGUUCGGGUUGUCAUGCCAAUGGCACUGCCCGGUAGCUAAAUGCGGAAGAGAUAAGUGCUGAAAGCAUCUAAGCACGAAACUUGCCCCGAGAUGAGUUCUCCCUGACUCCUUGAGAGUCCUGAAGGAACGUUGAAGACGACGACGUUGAUAGGCCGGGUGUGUAAGCGCAGCGAUGCGUUGAGCUAACCGGUACUAAUGAACCGUGAGGCUUAACCUUACAACGCCGAAGGUGUUU